CAACAACGGAUCUCUUGGUUCUGCAUCGAUGAAGAACGCGGCGAAAUGUGAUACGUAAUGUGAAUUGCAGAAUUCAGUGAAUCAUCGAAUCUUUGAACGCACAUUGCGCCCGCCAGCUUUCUGGCGGGCAUGCCUGUUCGAGCGUCAUUU
This 150-nucleotide ribosomal RNA is filed under the name Phialophora brunnescens. Its description in RNAcentral is "5.8S ribosomal RNA". It matches the Rfam family "5.8S ribosomal RNA". Rfam says of the family: 5.8S ribosomal RNA (5.8S rRNA) is a component of the large subunit of the eukaryotic ribosome. It is transcribed by RNA polymerase I as part of the 45S precursor that also contains 18S and 28S rRNA. The record is from RNAcentral. Lineage: Eukaryota; Fungi; Ascomycota; Eurotiomycetes; Chaetothyriales; Herpotrichiellaceae.